GAUGAACGCUGGCGGCGUGCCUAAUACAUGCAAGUCGAGCGAACGGACGAGAAGCUUGCUUCUCUGAUGUUAGCGGCGGACGGGUGAGUAACACGUGGAUAACCUACCUAUAAGACUGGGAUAACUUCGGGAAACCGGAGCUAAUACCGGAUGAUAUUUUGAACCGCAUGGUUCAAAAGUGAAAGACGGUCUUGCUGUCACUUAUAGAUGGAUCCGCGCUGCAUUAGCUAGUUGGUAAGGUAACGGCUUACCAAGGCAACGAUGCAUAGCCGACCUGAGAGGGUGAUCCGCCACACUGGAAAUGAGACACGGUCCAGACCCCUAAGGGAGGCAGCAGUAGGGAAUCCUCCGGAAUGGGCGAAAGGCUGACGGAGCAACGCCGCGUGAGGGAUGAAGGUCUUCGGAUCGGAAAACUCUGUUAUUAGGGAAGAACAUAUGUGUAAGUAACUGUGCACAUCUUGACGGUACCUAAUCAGAAAGCCACGGCUAACUACGUG
RNAcentral lists this ribosomal RNA (497 nucleotides) under uncultured bacterium. Its description in RNAcentral is "partial 16S ribosomal RNA". It matches the Rfam family "Bacterial small subunit ribosomal RNA", at positions 28 to 507 of the family's 1533-position model. The record is from RNAcentral.